RNAcentral lists this long non-coding RNA (268 nucleotides) under Chinchilla lanigera (long-tailed chinchilla). RNAcentral's name for it is "lncRNA (ENSCLAG00000029107.1)". Lineage: Eukaryota; Metazoa; Chordata; Mammalia; Rodentia; Chinchillidae. The record is from RNAcentral.
GUUUACUCUGCACUAACCAGUGAGACCAUAUCAGAUCGUAGAAGAGAAGAAAGUGCAUUUGUUAAUGGAGCCUCUAAGAGGGAUAGGAAUCCAAUCUUUCUGUGCAUGGUGAGGGUCCAGGAGCCAGGAAGAACGUCAGAGAAGAGAUUAAUAAUGAAAACAUCUUGGAGGAACUGACCAGGCAAAGGAGUGACUUCUACUCUGCUGUGCAGUUUCUCCAUACUGUCUUCAAGCACCCUCACAACAGGAAGAGCCAGGAGAGAUGGAU